RNAcentral lists this long non-coding RNA (742 nucleotides) under Olea europaea subsp. europaea. The record is from RNAcentral. Lineage: Eukaryota; Viridiplantae; Streptophyta; Magnoliopsida; Lamiales; Oleaceae.
CAGAACUUCCAUUAAUCUCAUAAUAUUUUCUUCAUCAUCACAAUCUAAAUUAAAAUCACCCAAAAAAGAAACCCUAAAAUAAGUGAAAAAUCGAACAUCUCAUUGAGUAACCAGAAACCUAAUCCUACUCUCUCGUCCCAAGGAUGGUUACAAGAGGAAAUAAACCAACAUUAUUAGUCCUAUAUCAUAUACGAAAUCCCUUAAAGUUCAUAUUACCUUAGCCUUCCUUAAUCUUCUGCAGCAAUGGAGUGAAGUCGUGGUAAGAAGAAUUUUUACAAGAAAAAUGGUCAAAAGAUUCACUAACCACUUCAGGAAAGAGCUUUAACAACUUCCCCAAACCCAGCACACCAAAUUUUUCUUCAUCACUUUCAAGUACUUUCAAGGUUUCUCAGAAAAUUGGCAACACAUGUUGUCGAGAACCCGAAUUCCUCCGACGCCUUCCGUAGGAUGUCAACGAAAAUUGACAAGUUUUAGAACCGAGUCGGGAAAACGAACCGACGGCGUUCUAGGCCCACGCAGACGGCCAAUGAGCUUGAAGGGAUCCGGUUUGAACAGGUCGGUUCGUCAAAAUAUGAGGAAAAUUGGUAGUGUGUAGUCCACCAUCUCAGGCUGGCUGUUGCUUUUCCAGCACAGACGACUUGUCUCAGCCUUACAAUUUAAGUGAUGACAUUGCUGUGACCGUGAUUUUGGGUUUUGAAGCUGAGGCUGCUGAGCUCUUUUCAAUUAGAGAGAGAGAGAGAGA